RNAcentral lists this transfer RNA (74 nucleotides) under Armatimonadota bacterium. Its description in RNAcentral is "Armatimonadetes bacterium tRNA-Pro". It matches the Rfam family "tRNA". Rfam says of the family: Transfer RNA (tRNA) molecules are approximately 80 nucleotides in length. Their secondary structure includes four short double-helical elements and three loops (D, anti-codon, and T loops). The record is from RNAcentral. Lineage: Bacteria; Bacillati; Armatimonadota.
CGGGGUGUGGCUCAGCAUGGUAGAGCACACGGUUCGGGACCGUGAGGUCGCUGGUUCGAAUCCAGUCACCCCGA